CGGCCAUUAAUGAGAACAGCAUCAGGGAAGGGAAGACCUGUUCCAUUGUCCAAGGAAGCUUUCAAGUCCGUGUGGUUAGCCUUGAACCAAUCACCGGUUAAGAUGGUAAAAUCUCCAGCCGGAGGGGGAAAGGGCACUGGAAUCAUUGGCCGGCUGAGGAUCCUGAGUCCACCGAAGCCUCCAGCGGCCUUGUGAAAGGCAAGAGAAGGAAAGUAGAAGUAGCUGCCAAUUUGAUCCUUCAUUUGUAGGACAUAUGUGAAGUUCAUCCCAGG
RNAcentral lists this unclassified non-coding RNA (272 nucleotides) under Hevea brasiliensis (rubber tree). Lineage: Eukaryota; Viridiplantae; Streptophyta; Magnoliopsida; Malpighiales; Euphorbiaceae. The record is from RNAcentral.